UGAGGAAUAUUGGUCAAUGGGCGGAAGCCUGAACCAGCCAUCCCGCGUGCAGGAAGACGGCCCUAUGGGUUGUAAACUGCUUUUCCAGGGGGCGAAUAGCUCUAACGUGUUGGGGUAUGACUGUACCCUGGGAAUAAGCAUCGGCUAACUCCGUG
RNAcentral lists this ribosomal RNA (155 nucleotides) under uncultured bacterium. Its description in RNAcentral is "partial 16S rRNA". It matches the Rfam family "Bacterial small subunit ribosomal RNA", at positions 355 to 507 of the family's 1533-position model. The record is from RNAcentral.